This is a non-coding RNA of Pelobates cultripes (western spadefoot toad), 249 nucleotides long. NCBI's taxonomy places the organism in Eukaryota, Metazoa, Chordata, Amphibia, Anura, Pelobatidae. The record is from the annotation of a GenBank genome assembly.
CUGUUUGCCAGGACAACCCAUCAGCAUUGCCAUUUUGCUUACCGGGUCUGUAGCUGAUGGUAAAGUUGUAAGGUUGCAGGGAUAAGCUCCUCCGCAGCAACCUGCCAUUGUCUCCUGAGACCCGGUUAAGUCAGACCAAUGGGUUGUGGUCGGUGACUAACGAAAAUUCCUGUCCGUACAAGUAAGGGUUCAAACCAGGGCCAAACACUCCUUCUCCACUGCCGCAUAGCUCACUUCCCGGGGUAAUAG